UACUACGGGAUAACCCGUUGAAAGACGGCCUAAUACCGUAUGAUAUCGUUUGCUGACAUCAAAAUAACGAUUAAAAGGUUUAGCGGGUUAUGGAUGGGGAUGCGUCUGAUUAGCUUGUUGGCGGGGUAACGGCCCACCAAGGCUACGAUCAGUAGGGGUUCUGAGAGGAAGGUCCCCCCCACAUUGGAACUGAGACACGGUCCAAACUCCUACGGGAGGCAGCAGUGAGGAAUAUUGGUCAAUGGGGCGAGAGCCUGAACCAGCCAAGUAGCGUGCAGGAUGACGGCCCUAUGGGUUGUAAACUGCUUUUAUGUGGGGAUAAAGUGCGUGACGUGUCAUGCAUUGCAGGUACCACAUGAAUAAGGACCGGCUAAUUCCGUGCCAGCAGCCGCGGUAAU
RNAcentral lists this ribosomal RNA (398 nucleotides) under uncultured Prevotella sp. Its description in RNAcentral is "bacterial SSU rRNA". It matches the Rfam family "Bacterial small subunit ribosomal RNA", at positions 134 to 524 of the family's 1533-position model. Lineage: Bacteria; Pseudomonadati; Bacteroidota; Bacteroidia; Bacteroidales; Prevotellaceae. The record is from RNAcentral.